UACCGGCUGCUCGAGUGAUAGCCGCUUUUACUGGGCUUAAAGCGUUCGUAGCUUGGACGUUAACUCUCUGGGGAAAUCUUUAGGCUUAACC
RNAcentral lists this ribosomal RNA (91 nucleotides) under uncultured archaeon. RNAcentral's name for it is "partial 16S ribosomal RNA". The record is from RNAcentral.